This 85-nucleotide transfer RNA is filed under the name Puniceicoccales bacterium. RNAcentral's name for it is "tRNA-Leu". It matches the Rfam family "tRNA". From Rfam's summary of the family: Transfer RNA (tRNA) molecules are approximately 80 nucleotides in length. Their secondary structure includes four short double-helical elements and three loops (D, anti-codon, and T loops). Further hydrogen bonds mediate the characteristic L-shaped molecular structure. tRNAs have two regions of fundamental functional importance: the anti-codon, which is responsible for specific mRNA codon recognition, and the 3' end, to which the tRNAs corresponding amino acid is attached (by aminoacyl-tRNA synthetases). tRNAs cope with the degeneracy of the genetic code in two manners: having more than one tRNA (with a specific anti-codon) for a particular amino acid; and 'wobble' base-pairing, i.e. permitting non-standard base-pairing at the 3rd anti-codon position. The record is from RNAcentral. Lineage: Bacteria; Pseudomonadati; Verrucomicrobiota; Opitutia; Puniceicoccales.
GCUCAGGUGGUGAAAUUGGCAGACACGCUGUCUUCAGGCGGCAGUGUCGAAAGACAUAGGGGUUCGAAUCCCCUCCUGAGCACCA